RNAcentral lists this ribosomal RNA (589 nucleotides) under uncultured bacterium. RNAcentral describes it as "partial 16S ribosomal RNA". It matches the Rfam family "Bacterial small subunit ribosomal RNA", at positions 355 to 1375 of the family's 1533-position model. The record is from RNAcentral.
UGGGGAAUUUUAGGACAAUGGGCGAAAGCCUGAUCCAGCAAUGCCGCGUGUGUGAAGAAGGCCUUCGGGUUGUAAAGCACUUUUGUCCGGAAAGAAAUCCUUGGCUCUAAUACAGUCGGGGGAUGACGGUACCGGAAGAAUAAGCACCGGCUAACUACGUGCCAGCAGCCGCGGUAAUACGUAGGGUGCAAGCGUUAAUCGGAAUUACUGGGCGUAAAGCGUGCGCAGGCGGUUUGCUAAGACCGAUGUGAAAUCCCCGGGCUCAACCUGGGAACUGCAUUGGUGACUGGCAGGCUAGAGUAUGGCAGAGGGGGGUAGAAUUCCACGUGUAGCAGUGAAAUGCGUAGAGAUGUGGAGGAAUACCGAUGGCGAAGGCAGCCCCCUGGGCCAAUACUGACGCUCAUGCACGAAAGCGUGGGGAGCAAACAGGAUUAGAUACCCUGGUAGUCCACGCCCUAAAACGAUGUCAACUAGUUGUUGGGGAUUCAUUUCCUUAGUAACGUAGCUAACGCGUGAAGUUGACCGCCUGGGGAGUACGGUCGCAAGAUUAAAAACUUCAAAUGAAUUGACGGGGUCAUAGCUGUUUCCU